AUAAUCUGUCCUCAACUUGGGAAUAACGGUUGGAAACGACCGCUAAUACCGAAUGUGGUAUGUUUAGGCAUCUAAAACAUAUUAAAGAAGGGGAUCUUCGGACCUUUCGGUUGAGGGAGAGUCUAUGGGAUAUCAGCUUGUUGGUGGGGUAAUGGCCUACCAAGGCUUUGACGUCUAGGCGGAUUGAGAGAUUGACCGCCAACACUGGGACUG
RNAcentral lists this ribosomal RNA (213 nucleotides) under uncultured Chlamydia sp. RNAcentral's name for it is "partial 16S ribosomal RNA". It matches the Rfam family "Bacterial small subunit ribosomal RNA", at positions 121 to 321 of the family's 1533-position model. The record is from RNAcentral. Lineage: Bacteria; Pseudomonadati; Chlamydiota; Chlamydiia; Chlamydiales; Chlamydiaceae.